This 356-nucleotide ribosomal RNA is filed under the name uncultured Glomeraceae. RNAcentral's name for it is "SSU rRNA". It matches the Rfam family "Eukaryotic small subunit ribosomal RNA", at positions 569 to 929 of the family's 1831-position model. The record is from RNAcentral. Lineage: Eukaryota; Fungi; Glomeromycota; Glomeromycetes; Glomerales; Glomeraceae.
AGCAGCCGCGGUAAUUCCAGCUCCAAUAGCGUAUAUUAAAGUUGUUGCAGUUAAAAAGCUCGUAGUUGAAUUUCGGGAUCAUCAGGUUGGUCGUGCCUCUGGUAUGUACUUUCCUCGAUGGUUCCUCCUUCUUGAAGAACCAUAAUGCCAUUAAUUUGGUGUUGCGGGGAAACAGGACUGUUACUUUGAAAAAAUUAGAGUGUUUAAAGCAGGCAAUCGCUUGAAUACAUUAGCAUGGAAUAAUGAAAUAGGACGUUCGAUCCUAUUUUGUUGGUUUCUAGGAUUGACGUAAUGAUUAAUAGGGAUAGUUGGGGGCAUUAGUAUUCAAUUGUCAGAGGUGAAAUUCUUGGAUGUAU